This is a long non-coding RNA of Panicum hallii, 1237 nucleotides long. RefSeq lists it as uncharacterized. The record is from RefSeq and is a predicted model, not a curated record. The transcript is spliced from 3 exons. NCBI's taxonomy places the organism in Eukaryota, Viridiplantae, Streptophyta, Magnoliopsida, Poales, Poaceae.
CUUGAGACCUCUUAUGCUAUGGUAUGGCAAGAGGGAGAUGAGCACCUUCUAUUUACAGGUGCUUAUGGAUGUUGUAGUGUUGCCAUGUAGCAACUUUCGCACUCUUCUUUACAAAAUAUCUAAUAUUAGAAUUUUCCUUAUCCUUAUCCAACUAUGCAAAAUAUCUGAUUUUAGAGAAUUCUUGUCUUGCCAUAAAGCAUGACAACUCCUCCCUCUUGCCAUUUCCAAGUUCUUGUAGAAUCUUCCAAGUAUGCAUUGUUAUUUUCAACAAAGUGCAAUCUGAAUCUUUAAAGGUCCGUAGGAACUGUAAUGGAAAUGCUACGAUGAAUGGCGCUGCCGGUAAGCAAAAUUUCAUUUGGACUAGUAGCCAAGUGCGACUGCACGGUAGGCUGGUAGUACAUUCAGCUUACUGAUUUUUCCCCCCCUGAAAUUUAUACUGAAUUUGUUUUCCCUGUUGCUUGACGCGUAAUGCUGUGAAGCUUCAAUUGUUCGUGACUUCGGUCAUAGUCACCGAGUUCCCAGGUCGAUAGGAUCAAGGAACACACCAACACAGAACUUGCUCCGAAAGGUUCCCAAUUGGUUAGGUUCUUGGCAAGUGGUGGUAACGACCCAUGGACGCAUUAAUCAAUAAAGGCCGUUCAUGAUCGAUCGGUUAAAGCAAUGCGAAAAUCCUCAGCAGUAUUUGCUGGGAACUGGUGGCGCCUCCUUCAGGGAAAGAGAGUUGGGGGACUCCGACCGACGGCGUUGCCAGGCUCGCCGUGCUAGCAGUAGUAGCCGCGGCGGCGGCCCGGCGGCGGCUGCAGGAAGGCGAUGAACAUCAGGGCGACGACGGCGACGAAGGCCAGCGCGAUGAGGAUGUUCUCGUCGACGGGGAGCAGGCACACCUUCCCCAUGCUCUCGCAGCCUGGUGAAUGGCGCUGCAGAGGAAGCGUGUACCUUGGCUUCGUUGCAGAAGCAUGCGUGGAAAUGUCCUUGUUAUAGCAGUUGGAGUCUUAUGUCCUCUGGGUCAACUGCUCUGUGAAAGGUUUUUCUAUUGGAGCUUCGUUGCGGUACCAUGGACCAUGCAGGCGUCUCGUACGCUUAUACGAAACUGAAUUUUGUAUUUAGGUAGGUAUUGUCAACAAGAAUGUAAAUUGUUCCUCGUGGAGUAGGUCGGUACAACGGCGGCAAGUUGAAGCAGCGGUUUGAACAGAUCCGAUGCAUCCUAAAGGUCACACCAUUUGCAUCACCAAAAAUG